UGGCGGGACCGGGGUGGAGGUAAUGUCUGGGAAACUGCCUGAUGGAGGGGGGUAACUACUGGAAACGGUAGCUAAUACCGCAUAACGUCGCAAGACCAAAGAGGGGACCUUCGGGCCUCUUGCCAUCGGAUGUGCCCAGAUGGGAUUAGCUAGUAGGUGGGGUAACGGCUCACCUAGGCGACGAUCCCUAGCUGGUCUGAGAGGAUGACCAGCCACACUGGAACUGAGACACGGUCCAG
RNAcentral lists this ribosomal RNA (239 nucleotides) under uncultured bacterium. RNAcentral's name for it is "partial 16S ribosomal RNA". It matches the Rfam family "Bacterial small subunit ribosomal RNA", at positions 104 to 334 of the family's 1533-position model. The record is from RNAcentral.